Molecule: ribosomal RNA, 468 nt
Filed under: uncultured bacterium
Lineage: Bacteria
Description: partial 16S ribosomal RNA
Rfam family: Bacterial small subunit ribosomal RNA
Source: RNAcentral
GACGAACGCUGGCGGCGUGCUUAACACAUGCAAGUCGAACGGAAAGGCCCUGCUUUUGUGGGGUGCUCGAGUGGCGAACGGGUGAGUAACACGUGAGUAACCUGCCCUUGACUUUGGGAUAACUUCAGGAAACUGGGGCUAAUACCGGAUAGGAGCUCCUGCUGCAUGGUGGGGGUUGGAAAGUUUCGGCGGUUGGGGAUGGACUCGCGGCUUAUCAGCUUGUUGGUGGGGUAGUGGCUUACCAAGGCUUUGACGGGUAGCCGGCCUGAGAGGGUGACCGGCCACGUUGGGACUGGGAUACGACCCAGACUCCACCGGGAGGCAGCAGUGGGGAAUAUUGCACAAUGGGCGGAAGCCUGAUGCAGCAACGCCGCGUGCGGGAUGACGGCCUUCGGGUUGUAAACCGCUUUCGCCUGUGACGAAGCGUGAGUGACGGUAAUGGGUAAAGAAGCACCGGCUAACUACGUG